Molecule: long non-coding RNA, 2201 nt
Filed under: Malus domestica (apple)
Lineage: Eukaryota; Viridiplantae; Streptophyta; Magnoliopsida; Rosales; Rosaceae
Description: long non-coding RNA (MDOM_LNC019260)
Source: RNAcentral
GUUCUAAUCGCCCACUGCCUCGCUAAAAGGAAAUAACUUUUGUGGGAUAUCCUUAAAUUAACUUUUGGAUAUCGCUUCUAUAAACCAACUAACAAAUGUUGUUUUGUUGAGUAGUUCAUUGUAAUCCUACAAUGUGAUUUGCCUAAAAGCAAAUAAACGAGAGAUAGAACUCAAAGAAUGGGUUCUUUGAGAGACAAGAAAGUAAUCAACAAAUAUAAACAACCUAGUUCCUAUACCAAAAGCUCCAAGGUAGUCGAGAAGGAUUGAUAAACCGUCUCAGUUGAAUGGUUUGAACUUUAUGACUAUGUCAUAGAGAUGCACCUCUUAAUUCGAAAGAACUAAGAAUGAAAAUCCUUAUGACUACACUGAGUGUAUAUAUAUGAUAUAUACUCAAGGAAAUGGUAAAGUACCAUUUGACCCGAAAUAAUGAAACCUUCAUAAGCUAAUUGGUAGCUUAAGGUGACUACAAUCAAAGAGAAUGGUUGACUUUGAAGAAACCAUCUUUGAGAUAGUCUUGGUAUCAAUUAAUUCGAAGAUUGCUAGCUACAACUAAAUGGUGAUUCAAUGUUUGGACAUAAUAUGGGUUUCCGAAACCAUUAUUAAGAUAGUCUUAAUAAUAUAUGUCUAAAACUAUGAAUCACAAGACAUAUAAGUUGUAGAGAUCCAACCAUCAUGAAUCUUAGCAAGCUAGUGGGAGCUAUAAGCAUUUUAUGAGAAAAAGGAUCAAAUCGUUUGAUUUCUCAUAAAGAUGUAAAUGAAUCUUUUGUUUACUAGGUUUACAAAAGAUUAGUGGGAGUUAAUCAUGUUCCUAAAAUUUAAAUAUAUAUAUAUGAUAUAUAUAUUAAUUUUGGAAAUGAAAAGAAUACUUCUUCGUUAAAGUUAUGACUUUAAACAUUCUAUAACGAUAGAAUGUAUAUGGGAGACAUAAUCUAUAUACAUGGGAUGGAAAUCUAUAAUGAUAGAUUUUUAGGAUAUAAUUGGAUUAUAUCAAUUCCUAAUAAUAGACAAAAGAUGAUAGGGAGUUUCUCAUAUGAUGAUGAACUUCAAUCAAAAGGACAACUCUAGUGAGACUAAGAAGUUGCUCUUCUCAAAGAGAACGUACUCUUUGACUCCCAAAGAAAUAAUGCGUAAAUAGAAUCCUUUAUGCAUACGCAGAAAAGUGAUUUAUGUAUUUCAUAUUGUAUGAAAAACAUUGAUAUGAGUUGUACCUAGAACGGUACAAGACGAUAUCAGUGCAAGCCCAGGAUCAGAACCAUGGCAACUGUCAAGUAAGUCCUUAAGUAUUUAAGAAAUACUAAAGGAUAAAUUCCUCAAAGAUCGAGGAAGAAUUUGAGUAACGUAAUGGAAGCGUAAAUGUAUUAGAUUAUGAAUCUAAUCCAUCAUUGGAUGUUUCUUCAUUAUGAAUGAAGAGAUAAACAGAUAUCUCUUUGUUAUGACUAAAGAGAUAUUUGGAUGGAAACAUUAAAGUAAUGACUUUAGUGUGUUCCAUUAUGAAUGCAAAAUAUAUUGCCAUAUAGAAGUUUGCAACAAUGUUGUUUGGUUGGGAAAGUUCAUUAUGAACUCUCUAUUCGGUUCCAACCAAAAAGUGUUUGACACUAAUGGGGCGAUAGCUCAAGCCAGGGAAUCAAGGUCUCAUCAAGGUCCGAACUCAAAUGAGAGACUGAACCACAUGAUUGAGAAUCAUGUAUAAUGGUGACGUCGUUAUUCUCAAGGUUGCUUCUAUGGAUAACAUAUAGAUAUCCAUUGUCUAGGCCUACUACUCAGCCAUUUAUGAAAUGACUACAGAAGAGGUAUCAUCAUGAUGACCAAGCUGAUUGGCUCUAGUGCAAGUGGGAGAUUGUUAGAAAUGUGCCCUAAAACCAAUCAUAUGAUGAUACUUGACGGACAUUUCACAUGUUAAACUAAUCUAGUUUAACUAUAAAGGGCAAAGAUUAUUGUUUGAGCCGUCUCAUAUAAAUGUUAUAUGCUUAAACGAUAAAGUCCAAGGAAUAUGUGAUUGGGAGAAUGGAAUCUAAAGAUGUUAGAUUCAUGAGAAAUUCUUUCGUAGACACAUCCUAAACGUUCCUGAUCAUAGGAUUGCCAAUUGGGCAUUGAUAGUCCGUUAAGAUCAGUACGUGCUGUGUCUUCUUUCAGGGAGAGUGACUAGUCUCGAGUCAUUGGUGUGUGUGACAUCAAGACAAGUACGUAGGUGCUCAAUAGAG